Molecule: non-coding RNA, 94 nt
Organism: Acanthosepion pharaonis
Lineage: Eukaryota; Metazoa; Mollusca; Cephalopoda; Sepiida; Sepiidae
Source: the annotation of a GenBank genome assembly
UAACACCGGUUCUCAUUCGAUCACCGAAGUUAAGCAACGUUGAAUCCGGUUAGUACUUACAUGAGUGAUCGCUCGGAAUACCAGGUGCUGUAAG